UCUCCUGGUAGCUCAGUUGGCAGAGCGGAGGACUGUAGAUGUUACAACGGUGAUCCUUAGGUCGCUGGUUCAAAUCCGCUCGAGGGAG
This 88-nucleotide transfer RNA is filed under the name Cordylochernes scorpioides. Its description in RNAcentral is "tRNA-Tyr". It matches the Rfam family "tRNA". Rfam says of the family: Transfer RNA (tRNA) molecules are approximately 80 nucleotides in length. The record is from RNAcentral. Lineage: Eukaryota; Metazoa; Arthropoda; Arachnida; Pseudoscorpiones; Chernetidae.